CUACGGGGUGCUGCAGUGAGGAAUUUUGCGCAAUGGGGGUAACCCUGACGCAGCAACGCCGCGUGAGUGAUGAAGGCUUUCGGGUCGUAAAGCUCUGUCAAGUGGGAAGAAUAUACGAAAUGCUAAUACCAUUUUGUACUGACGGUACCACUGAAGGAAGCACCGGCUAACUCCGUGCCAGCAGCCGCGGUAAUACGGGGGGUGCAAGCGUUAUUCGGAAUUAUUGGGCGUAAAGAGCACGUAGGCGGCCGCUUAAGUCAGAUGUGAAAGCCCGGGGCUCAACCCCGGAAGUGCAUUUGAAACUAAGUGGCUUGAGUAUGGGAGAGGGAAGUGGAAUUCCUGGUGUAGAGGUGAAAUUCGUAGAUAUCAGGAGGAACACCGGUGGCGAAGGCGACUUCCUGGACCAAUACUGACGCUGAGGUGCGAAGGCGUGGGGAGCAAACAGGAUUAGAUACCCCGGUAGUC
This 465-nucleotide ribosomal RNA is filed under the name uncultured bacterium. RNAcentral describes it as "partial 16S ribosomal RNA". It matches the Rfam family "Bacterial small subunit ribosomal RNA", at positions 339 to 795 of the family's 1533-position model. The record is from RNAcentral.